Long non-coding RNA from Cygnus olor (mute swan), 915 nucleotides. RefSeq lists it as uncharacterized. The transcript has 4 exons. The record is from RefSeq and is a predicted model, not a curated record. Lineage: Eukaryota; Metazoa; Chordata; Aves; Anseriformes; Anatidae.
UGAUGAUCGGGAAUAGCUUAAAGCAUGCAAAAAUCUUUACCAGGAGCUUGUGGGGUUUCAAACAUUCAUGUCAUUAACACGUGUGAAAUGUGAGCAAUAAUUACUUCCUGCACUGCAAAGUUAUUGAGAAGUUUCAAGGCAUACAGUUCUGGGUGAUGAGAAGCAAAACUGAAUGAGUAGAAGAAAUGUGAUCAGAAAAACAAUAAGAGCACGCCUUGAUCUGUUUGCAGGGAAAAGGAAGAGAGAUCAGAGAGGAGUAUGACUUGAUGAAUCAGGUGAAGUUAGGACCUAUCAAGAUAGUGUACUGAAAGGCUUAUUUAGGAGCUGAAACUGAAAAUACCAAAAGAAGCCUUGUCCAGUCAUUAUGACAUGAGAUUCUGGUAGACUUAUUGAUGACAUCUGCUGAGAAACGUGUAUUUAUUCUUCUGUCAAGAGACAGAAGAAAAUAUAUUAUAGAUUUCCAUAUCAUGGAUAUAUUUGGUCAGCAAAUUCAAAACUUUACUUCAGAAGUGAUAUAUGUGUGCUUGCACACAUAUUCAGCAUAAGCAUUGAGCUUUCAAAAGACUUCAAAUGAAUUUCCAAAUCCAAUGAAAAUUUUGUCUGAUAUUCAACAUGCUUAAAAAUUGUGAAGGUUUAAAAAAAAGGAAGGAACUAAUUAAAAACUUUUACCAAAAGGCUGUUUUAGAAGAGAACUUUGGCAAUCUAAAGAUGGUAUUAGUAAGUAAAUUCACACAUCAGCAUUCUGCAAUAGCUAAGCAGAGGAAAAAUAAAGAUAAAAUUAUAUCCAAUGUGAGUGUAAAGUAGCAACCAGAUUGUGAGCUGACAUUGCAGAGAUAUAUAAAAAAGGCCUAAACGUUCUGAAUUUAAUUCCAGCUAUCACAAAUUAGGCUAUGCCAGAGUUGUACCAAGAGAGAG